GUUUUCAUGGUGUAGUUGGUUAUCACAUCUGCUUAACACGCAGAAGGCCUCCAGUUCUUUCCAGAGUUAGACCC
Molecule: transfer RNA, 74 nt
Filed under: Rozella allomycis CSF55
Lineage: Eukaryota; Fungi; Rozellomycota
Description: tRNA-Val
Source: RNAcentral